RNAcentral lists this ribosomal RNA (465 nucleotides) under uncultured bacterium. RNAcentral's name for it is "partial 16S ribosomal RNA". It matches the Rfam family "Bacterial small subunit ribosomal RNA", at positions 28 to 507 of the family's 1533-position model. The record is from RNAcentral.
GACGAACGCUGGCGGCGUGCUUAACACAUGCAAGUCGUACGGUAAGGCCCUUUCGGGGGUACACGAGUGGCGAACGGGUGAGUAACACGUGAGUAACCUGCCCACCACUUUGGGAUAACGCUAGGAAACUAGUGCUAAUACUGGAUAUGUGCUCCUGCUGCCUGGUGGGGGUUGGUAAGCUCCGGCGGUUGUGGAUGGACUCGCGGCCUAUCAGCCUGUUGGUGGGGUAGUGGGCUACCAAGGCGGCGACGGGUAGCCGGCCUGAGAGGGUGACCGGCCACAUUGGGACUGAGAUACGGCCCAGACUCCUACGGGAGGCAGCAGUGGGGAAUAUUGGACAAUGGGCGCAAGCCUGAUGCAGCAACGCCGCGGGCGGGAUGACGGCCUUCGGGUUGGAAAACGCUUUCAGCAGGGACGAAGCUUUUUGUGACGGUACCUGCAGAAGAAGCACCGGCUAACUACGUG